GUCAAUUACCCCCGACUAAAGUCGGGGGCUUGCAGAAACGUGCAAGCGUAACUAGCAAGCCCUGAUUGACUAGCCUAAGUUCUUCGAGAGCUACGUUGUUUUCGUUAUCACACCCUGGAGUGUUUAUCCUAGCUCCUUGCUCUGU
This 145-nucleotide small RNA is filed under the name bovine gut metagenome. RNAcentral describes it as "HNH endonuclease-associated RNA and ORF (HEARO) RNA". It matches the Rfam family "HNH endonuclease-associated RNA and ORF (HEARO) RNA", at positions 1 to 127 of the family's 211-position model. The record is from RNAcentral.